Molecule: ribosomal RNA, 689 nt
Filed under: Clostridioides difficile
Lineage: Bacteria; Bacillati; Bacillota; Clostridia; Peptostreptococcales; Peptostreptococcaceae
Description: partial 23S ribosomal RNA
Rfam family: Bacterial large subunit ribosomal RNA
Source: RNAcentral
ACUGUCUCAACAACAGACUCGGUGAAAUUGUAAUUCCGGUGAAGAUGCCGGAUACCUGCGACAGGACGGAAAGACCCCAUGGAGCUUUACUGUAGCUUGACAUUGGGUCUUGGUACUACAUGUACAGGAUAGGUGGGAGGCUUUGAAACCAGGACGCCAGUUUUGGCGGAGCCAUCCUUGGGAUACCACCCUUGUAGUACUGGGACUCUAACCAUAGGCCAUGAAUCUGGUCUUGGGACACUGUCAGGUGGGCAGUUUGACUGGGGCGGUCGCCUCCCAAAAGGUAACGGAGGCGCUCAAAGGUUCUCUCAGUACGGUCGGAAAUCGUACGUAGAGUGUAAAGGCAAAAGAGAGCUUGAUUGCAAGACAUACAGGUCGAGCAAGGAUGAAAAUCGGACUUAGUGAUCCGGUGGUUCUGCGUGGAAGGGCCAUCGCUCAACGGAUAAAAGCUACCCUGGGGAUAACAGGCUUAUCUCCCCCAAGAGUCCACAUCGACGGGGAGGUUUGGCACCUCGAUGUCGGCUCAUCACAUCCUGGGGCUGUAGUAGGUCCCAAGGGUUGGGCUGUUCGCCCAUUAAAGUGGUACGCGAGCUGGGUUCAGAACGUCGUGAGACAGUUCGGUCCCUAUCCGUCGCAGGCGUAGGAAAUUUGAGAAGACCUGUCCUUAGUACGAGAGGACCGGGAUGGAC